This 556-nucleotide long non-coding RNA is filed under the name Nicotiana benthamiana. RNAcentral describes it as "long non-coding RNA (NBEN_LNC035312)". Lineage: Eukaryota; Viridiplantae; Streptophyta; Magnoliopsida; Solanales; Solanaceae. The record is from RNAcentral.
GUAGGGGUUGGAAUAUUAGGCCUAGCAUGCUCUAACGCCUGUUUAUAAGCAUUAUAAACAGAGUGAGCAUUCACUGUAAUUGAAGCUUUCGCAUCAGAUAGUGUAGCCAUUUCUCUUCUUCAAGAUCUAAAGCUUGAUAAAUAGUAGAAUACCAAAAGUUAGGACCUCCUACUUUCNNNNNNGUUGGAAUAUUAGGCCUAGCAUGCUCUAACGCCUGUUUAUAAGCAUUAUAAACAGUUUGAGCAUUCACUGUAAUUGAUGCUUUCGCAUCAGAUAGUAUGGCCAUUUCUUCUUCUUCAAGAUCUAAAGCUUGAUAAAUAGUAGAAUACCAAAAGUUAGGUCCUCCUACUUUCAUAGUAGGAUUUAACAAAGCAGCCACACCAAAUAUAGGAGGGAUUGGGAAAAAAUAUUUUUUAAACUUCUUUUUCAUUUCAGUAAUUGCAAUUUCAUAAAUUUCCUCUCCCUCGUUAAAAUCAUCAAACAAAUUAGCAAAUGCGGUAAUAUAAACUAAACAGUUAGAAAUAGUUGGAUAAUAUUGGCCAGAUAAAGCAGUUGU